AAAUUUAAUCUUAGAUUAGGAUGUCACUUUUUGAGACGUUAUAUAUAAAGAUAAUUAUUUUUUAUGUGUUUUGUAUUUUUUUAUUAGGGUCCAUUUGUAAUAUUCAAACAAGACCUCCAAAUAGUCAGGACCGACCUUGUCUAUAUUUAUUAAUUUACUUAAUAAAUAAUUUUUUUUAACAGGAAUUCUUAAUAAAUAGUUAAAUUGCCUUUAAAAACUCUUAGUGAAGAGAAAAAUUAAUAUGAAAUCUAGACUAUCUAAUCUAUAUAUAAGCUAGAAAGUUGAUUGUUCUGGUUAAGUCCAAAACACCCUUACUUAAUUUGUUGCCAUGUGUCCCAAAUGAGGAUAAUUGAUAUCCAAAAAAUUGAUAACUGAACUAAAAGUACACACAAUUUGUCAAGUAACCAAGUCAUCUAAGCCAUAUUUCAUCUCGUGAGUGCAAAUGUUACUUUAUUGAAAGACAUAGUUGCAUUUUAACCAAGCCACAAGCCACUUAGUUACUUUUGAAAACAAAUGCAUGUGACAAUGUCAUUUAUUCUGCAAGUUGUGAUGAGUUAUCUUUUGGAGGCAAACUAUGAUAUUCAAAUUUCAAAAGUAAAAAAUAAAAUUUAUAUUUUACACGGGAUAAAUUCUAACUGAUAUGAAUUUUAACUAUCA
This 657-nucleotide long non-coding RNA is filed under the name Trifolium pratense (red clover). RNAcentral describes it as "long non-coding RNA (TPRA_LNC006891)". Lineage: Eukaryota; Viridiplantae; Streptophyta; Magnoliopsida; Fabales; Fabaceae. The record is from RNAcentral.